UUAAAUUGAAGAGUUUGAUCAUGGCUCAGAUUGAACGCUGGCGGCAGGCCUAACACAUGCAAGUCGAACGGUAACAGGAAGCAGCUUGCUGCUUUGCUGACGAGUGGCGGACGGGUGAGUAAUGUCUGGGAAACUGCCUGAUGGAGGGGGAUAACUACUGGAAACGGUAGCUAAUACCGCAUAACGUCGCAAGACCAAAGAGGGGGACCUUCGGGCCUCUUGCCAUCGGAUGUGCCCAGAUGGGAUUAGCUAGUAGGUGGGGUAACGGCUCACCUAGGCGACGAUCCCUAGCUGGUCUGAGAGGAUGACCAGCCACACUGGAACUGAGACACGGUCCAGACUCCUACGGGAGGCAGCAGUGGGGAAUAUUGCACAAUGGGCGCAAGCCUGAUGCAGCCAUGCCGCGUGUAUGAAGAAGGCCUUCGGGUUGUAAAGUACUUUCA
This 443-nucleotide ribosomal RNA is filed under the name Escherichia coli. RNAcentral's name for it is "bacterial SSU rRNA". It matches the Rfam family "Bacterial small subunit ribosomal RNA", at positions 1 to 438 of the family's 1533-position model. Lineage: Bacteria; Pseudomonadati; Pseudomonadota; Gammaproteobacteria; Enterobacterales; Enterobacteriaceae. The record is from RNAcentral.